This 460-nucleotide ribosomal RNA is filed under the name uncultured bacterium. RNAcentral describes it as "partial 16S ribosomal RNA". It matches the Rfam family "Bacterial small subunit ribosomal RNA", at positions 338 to 795 of the family's 1533-position model. The record is from RNAcentral.
CCUACGGGUGGCAGCAGUGAGGAAUAUUGGUCAAUGGCCGAGAGGCUGAACCAGCCAAGUCGCGUGAGGGAAGACGGCCCUACGGGUUGUAAACCUCUUUUGUCGGGGAGCAAAGAGAGUCACGUGUGACUCAUUGAGAGUACCCGAAGAAAAAGCAUCGGCUAACUCCGUGCCAGCAGCCGCGGUAAUACGGAGGAUGCGAGCGUUAUCCGGAUUUAUUGGGUUUAAAGGGUGCGUAGGUGGUUUGACAAGUUAGUAGCGCAACUCCGGAGCUCAACUUCGGAACUACUACUAAAACUGUUGGACUUGAGUGCAGGAGGGGCAAUCGGAAUUCCUAGUGUAGCGGUGGAAUGCGUAGAUAUUAGGAGGAACACCAGUGGCGAAGGCGGAUUGCUAGACUGUAACUGACACUGAGGCACGAAAGCGUGGGGAGCAAACAGGAUUAGAUACCCUUGUAGUC